Molecule: ribosomal RNA, 253 nt
Filed under: uncultured bacterium
Lineage: Bacteria
Description: partial 16S ribosomal RNA
Rfam family: Bacterial small subunit ribosomal RNA
Source: RNAcentral
UACGAGGGGUGCGAGCGUUGCUCGGAAUUAUUGGGCGUAAAGGGUAGGUAGGUGGUCUCGUUUGUCAAAGGUGAAAGCCUUGGGCUUAACCCAAGAAGUGCCUUUGAAACGGCGAGACUCGAGUCCUGGAGAGGGUCGUGGAAUUCCCGGUGUAGCGGUGAAAUGCGUAGAGAUCGGGAGGAACACCAGAGGCGAAGGCGGCGACCUGGACAGGUACUGACACUCAACUACGAAAGCGUGGGGAGCAAACAGG